CAGAAUCAUACACCCUCUGUGAACACAGGAGGCCUUAGUUUACGGGGACGGGGAGGCGAAAGGAGAUCAUACAUGGAAGCAGAUCUGAGAAAUCCCCUACCCCAGCCUCUGGGUGCUCUUAGGCCUUCUUCCCUGUUGCUCCUCGCUUUCCCUUCCAUCGUGUGUAAAGUCUCUUUGACCUAAAUCAGAUUGCAAACCACCCCCAGAUGUCAGCCCUGAUCACUGACGAAGAUGAAGACAUGCUGAGCUACAUGGUCAGCCUGGAGGUGGGAGAAGAGAAGCAUCCUGUUCAUCUCUGCAAGAUCAUGUUGUUCUUUCGGAGUAACCCCUACUUCCAGAAUAAAGUGAUUACCAAGGAAUAUCUGGUGAACAUCACAGGUGACAGGUGGCUCCCAGGAUGGGUAGUGGAAGGAAGAUGGUGGGUGGAUCAUUGCCAACGGGAUCCAGCCCCCUUCCCACAAAAACUCCUGUCUCUGUAGAAUACAGGGCUUCUCAUUCCACUCCAAUUGAGUGGUAUCCGGAUUAUGAAGUGGAGGCCUAUCGCCGCAGACACCACAACAGCAGCCUUAACUUCUUCAACUGGUUCUCUGACCACAACUUCGCAGGAUCUAACAAGAUUGCUGAGAUCCUAUGUAAGGACCUGUGGCGCAAUCCCCUGCAAUACUACAAGAGGAUGAAGCCACCUGAAGAGGGAACAGAGACGUCAGGUGAGCCGUUAGUUGGCACUGGAGCUGUUUGAUGCGCAGUAUAAGGGGGUUGACACACCUGCCUAUUCAGGGAGCCUGGGUGCUCAUUUCAGAAAUGUAGAAACUGAGGCUCCUUUC
This 824-nucleotide long non-coding RNA is filed under the name Homo sapiens (human). RNAcentral's name for it is "HSALNT0288137". The record is from RNAcentral. Lineage: Eukaryota; Metazoa; Chordata; Mammalia; Primates; Hominidae.